Non-coding RNA from Marmota monax (woodchuck), 560 nucleotides. NCBI's taxonomy places the organism in Eukaryota, Metazoa, Chordata, Mammalia, Rodentia, Sciuridae. The record is from the annotation of a RefSeq genome assembly.
AUGAAGCUUCAUGCCCUCUCUGGGAACCCCAGAAUUUGGGAAUCUUCACAUGUUCAGAAAUCUAAUGCUGCACUUACUGGACUCUUGAUGGGAAUCGGCUCAUCUUUUCACUAUGACUUCAACAUUCUUCAUGUUAAGAAUCAAGAACAUUAUUUAGUUGACUCUCUAAAGAUGGAUACUUCUUCAGGCAUAGUAAUGGUGAUGCUCUUAAUACUUGGAAGAACCCACGGAGACUCAGUGACCCAGAUGGAAGGCCAAGUGACCAUAUCAGAAGGGGCUUUGUUGACUAUAAACUGCACUUACUCCGCCACAAGGUACCCUACUCUUUUCUGGUAUGUUCAAUACCCUGGAGAAGGUCCACAGCUCCUCCUGAAAGCUGUGAAGGCCAAUGAUAAGGUCAUCAACAAAGGUUUUGAAGCCACAUACAAUAAAGAAGCCACGUCCUUCCACCUGGAGAAAGCUUCUAUUCAAGCAUCAGACUCGGCUGUGUAUUACUGUGCUCUGGGUGACACAGUGGCAGAAACUGCAGGGGGAGCUGAGCACAAACUCUGAGCAGCAAC